GGUCCUAGUGCGCGCCAUGGCGUCGCCUGAGGCUGGGUUCUUCAGGGCCCAAAGGAUUUCUGCCACCAGCUGAGGACCCAGUACCCCUCAGAGGGCCAGGGCUGUGUUUGCAGCAGGCGGUGCCUCCUGUGGUGCGAUGCAGAAGCGGCCUCGUUGGCUGAGAGCUGAGGAGGAGGCUCUGGGCUGCUUCCCGAGACAUGCUGGAAGGGAGGAGGGAGCAAGCUGGAGAGCUUGAGGAUUCGAGUUGAGUACCAGGAAAAGUGCGGCUUCUCUCCUCUUCUCUUCCCUCCGCCUUCCUGCAGCCAGGGUGAGACUGAGAUGGGCAGCCCUUCGGGGACCCCAACAUUCUUCGUAACGAAAACGUAACCAACAUCCUUUAGACACUUGUUCAACAUCUGUUUGGAGGAAAAGCUGUUUGCUGCGUGGGGAAGGAUGAAAAAGAAAGAUAGAGGUGACCGUGUGCAGCCUCAUCCCUGGGGUGCCAAGCAAAGCACCUCUGGCCCUAAACUCGCGUGUCCCUCUCAGUCAGAGGCAAAGCCCUGCAGUUGGUCUGAUCUACUUUGCUCAGGAUCAAAAACCUGGAGUGGACAUACAGUGAAUAUGCAAGAAGAUAUGGGAUAUAUCCUUGCUCUACUUUUUGGCAUUCCUCCUUCUCAGCCCCAUCAUAUAUCCCAGCAGAUCAGCAUUUGUUAUGAUUUGGGGGUAGACAGGGUAGAAGGAAGCAAGGGCUGAGUUUAGAGGUAAGGGAAGUUGAAAGCUAAUCCAUGGUCUAUAUCUAACCUUGACCUACUCCAUGGAAAGGGGGAGUCUGCUUCUCCUUCUCUCCCUGGUGGACUGAAACCAAGAAUCAUAAGCAAGAAUCCUAUUUGUCCUAGAUGCCUGGCAAAGAGCACAGCUCUGUCCUUUGUGGGAUCAGUGGCUGCUGUGAUUAACGAUCCCUACUGGGAAAUUCAGCUGUGCCAUUAUCACAGUGAGAAGGGUCACCAAGUCCCAGAAAGCUCCUGAGUGAGUUCCAUGUGGGCUAUGCCCCCAGGGGCAUCCUUGAACCAUUCCUGGAAAUCGGAGGCUCUGGAUCACUGAGGACAAUUCAAGUCUGUUUGGUCAUGUAUUCAGACUCUCUUGCAGUCACUGAAAUCUGUAUAGAAACAAAAUGGCUCUCACGACUUGAUGUCAGGAUGAGAACCCAAACUAUCUGACCUGGGCACAAGGCCACAAAUGACAAGGCAAGGAACAAUGCUUAAUGUCCAUUUUGCACUUCACGCUAUGUUCUGAGAUAACAAACACACAUGCACUAUCUCAUCUUUACAGCAUCUCUAGGAAGAAGACAGCAUAAUAACUCCCACUGUCUUUAUAAGGAAACCGAGGACCGAGAAAUGAGGUUUUCUUCUCAAGGUCAUACAGUGACGUGGCAGGGUGUGAACUUGGAAUCACAUCUGCCUAAUGACAAAAAUUGCUGCACUCUCUUUUGAGGGCUGGAGGCAGGUAGAAUCUCACAGACAAAAAUAAGGUUUCUCUCCUGAUUUUGUAACUACAACGUCGGUCCCUUAUUCCAAUACACACAUAUACCCCUUGAGAAGAGAGAGCAGUCCUAACAAAGCAGGACUUUAGGAAGCUAAAUCCUGAGUUUUACUGACCAAAGCAGAACUGGGAGAAUCUAUUGCUCUGAUCCCAUCUGAUCUGAAUGCACUGCUCCGUGCAUAUGGGCCCGGCACCAUAGGCCUGGGUGACCGGCGGUUCCAGGCUGCAUGCUCUUGGCAUCCGUGCUGGGCACUGUACUACAUCAUUUUCCCUCCCAUGCAGGCCUCUUCUUCCCCAGUGGGCUGUGCCUUCCUUAAGGACCCAGAUGCUAGCACGCCUGCUUCAAACCCUCUGCACUGGCUGCCCUGAUCCCUCAGAGAAGCGCCUCCUCCUCGGGAGUCACUCCGUCUCUACUGGCUCCUCCAGCCUCCCCUCUGGAAUGCUCCGACAAUGCAAAUUAAACGAGGUCACUCCAACUUACAAGUCCCUCAGGGACCCACUGUCUUUCAGCACAACAUCCUAAGUCUUUCCUAAACUCAUCCCUCACCCUUCCCUCACCCACAUCUGGCUCUCCAGCCACGCCCGGUUACCUGCAGCUUCACAGCGGGUUCUUACUCCCCAGUUUUUACUCAUGCUCUUCACGACACCUGCAAUGUCUUUUCCUCACCUGAUUCGCCUAACACUGUGGCCUUCGCGCAAUCACCUCACCUCUCUGAAACAGAAAUGGGUAGAAGUGGGUUGUUCUGGGAGCUAGUAAAAAAGAGUAAGAAAACGGAAUGAGGUCAAACAUUUCUUGACAUGUUCCAGGCAUUUUAUAUGUAUCGUUCCAUCUAAUCGUCAUCAGCAACCUAAGGAACAGCCCGAAUUGCUUUCCUGUCACAGGGCGAUUAGGUCCCGAGUGUCACACUGGUAGAAGGUGAUGGAGUCCAGGUAGCCAGGACCCAACAGCUCCAACACAAAAACCCUCCCCACAAGACCAGGCCCCUGGGAGCUACCAAGGCUGCAUAAUUAAUGUGCUGGCUCAGAAGGGGUCACCCACGCAUGAGAUCACGAAGCUGAUGAGUAAAUGGCAUCAUGGAAACCACAGGGCCUGGAAGGGGCCAAGUGGAGCAUCUCGUGCUUCAUGCUCUUUAUACUGGAAGAACUUCCCUAUGAUAAUAUUAACCACAAUGUUGAGUAAUAAUAAAAAUACCAUUUCUACAUGGCUCCCCAUAUGCCAUCUUCUCUGUGAAUUUACAUAUGUAUACAUUUUUUUCCAUUUAAUCCAUAAAACAGUCCAUUUUACAGACGAGGAAACCGAGGAUAGAGAGGUCAAAUAACAUGCCUAAGGAAGCACAGGAGCACAGGGUAGAGAUAGGGUGAAAGUCUAAGGCUAUUGGACUCAAAGUCUGUUCUCGGAAAAGCCAGGUUAUGCUGCCUGUGCACUCUCCCACCUUAUAUGCCGCCUUCCUCAAUGAAGUUGCAAUGGCCUGUGUCUGUCGGUAUAGGACCCACCAGGAGAGGCCGGCAGGCUGUCUCUCAAGGGACCCCGCUGGAUUCCUUCAUUCCUUGUGCCUCACAAACCCAAGGACUGAGGACCCUACAGUCAGGGGUGUUCGGAGAGACUGAGGCUUACUGGCAAAACUUAUGAGAGACAGGCACAAUUGACAGAAUGAACUCUCAAUAAGUGUGUCCACUUACAAUGAUUAUUUGAAAGGCCAAGAAGACCAGAGUGCCUCUGCUGCCAUGAACAGCACAUUCGUUCCUUGUCUGGAGCCAAAUGACAAGCGUGUGCCCAUCAAACAGACAUUUGUGGAACCUCUGCUCAGCGGUGAGCAAAAGCAAGUAUAGCAAAAAGGUGGUUAGUCUGUCAGAUCACCUUUUCUCUAUACAUCAGCUUCACCCUUUUUUUGUGUAAGUCAGAAUUCUUGCUUCACAGAAACUGAUUCGGACUGAAUUUAACAGAAAAAGAAUCUAUUGGAAGGCUAUUAGGAAGGCCAAAGAACAAGACAAAAAAAUGAAAAAAACAACAGGGAUAAAGGGAAGCUCGACAGCCAGACACCACCAACAUUCCACGGCAGACCAAGCCUGCUAAGGACGUCACUGCUGCCGCUCCUGCGAACCCACCGUCGCAGCCGGUGCAGCCUCCCCACCUGCUGGCACCAGACGCCACGUGAACACAGACUCUGCAUCACCCGUAGCAAGCUUGUGAGCUUUUCUUAUGGAAAUAUACAAUUGUAUAUAAUAUACACACAUACUGCGCACACACACGCACACACACACACACGAUAUAAACAUACAGAUAGAUACAUAGACACACACCCAAGUAGAGAGAAUGGUAUAAGGAACUCCCAUCACUAACUUAAAUAAUUCUCAGCUCACAGCCCAUCCCCACAGCCCCCAUAACAUUUUGAAACAACUCUCUUCAUCCUAUCAUUGAACCCAUGGCUACGUCAACACCUGUCUCCAGAACAGGCUUACAAAACCUUGGCAUGACCCACAUCUCGGGCCCCAUCAUUCUUUGCUGAGGGCGCUGUCCUGAGUAUACUACGAUGCUCAGCAGCACCCCUGGUCUCCAUACAUGAGGUGAGAGAGCCUCUUCCUCACUCGUGCUUAUGACCACCGAGUAUGUCCUAGCUGCUGCCGAACAUCUAGGGAGCAAAACUGCCCUGGAUGGACACACACAUAGAUAUGCCCGCAAAACUAUCCUCACUCUUUCAACAUUUCAAAAUAAUUUCGCAAUAUCAUGACAGGUCAAGUCACAGUUCAAAUUUAGCUGAUUGGGGUGCCUGGGUGGCUCAGUGGGUUAAGGCCUCUGCCUUCGGCUCAUGUCAUGAUC
This is a long non-coding RNA of Neogale vison (American mink), 4336 nucleotides long. RefSeq lists it as uncharacterized. The transcript has 4 exons. NCBI's taxonomy places the organism in Eukaryota, Metazoa, Chordata, Mammalia, Carnivora, Mustelidae. The record is from RefSeq and is a predicted model, not a curated record.